GCUAUGUUGGCUAGCUGGCUAUGACUAUCCAACACAACACUGGAACACUUCCAAGUCAAGCAAAAUCAAUGACGAGACCUUCAAGCUGCCUGAUUGAAGAAGGCAGUGAGCUCCAUCGGGUCUUUUUAAAAAUGGCAUGAAAGUGAAACCUACUGCGUGAUAGGGAAAUAGGGAGAUAAGCUGUGUGGGCAAACUGCUUUUUCAUCUGAUCCGUCCAAUUUAUCACCUCUAAAAUGUAAAUAAAACACUAUAAAGAGUUUAUAUAAUAUGUCAUUACAUACCUACUUGAAUCAUGUUUUUAGGGCGGUGCUAAAGUUAUCUUCCGAAAAAAACAGAGGCCGUCCCGGUUUUGAGAGUCAUGAUGGCUUGCAGUGUUGACGCAAGAAAUAAAUGCAUUCAAUUGUACAAUUGACUAGGUAUCCCCCUUACCCUGUCCCUUUCUUGUUUUAAAUCUGCCAGUGAAGUGCUACAUCUGGUUGAGAGAGGCAGUACAACACAGAAUGAGUUGCAUUAUGUGUGCUGUAAGUUAGUUACAUCAUGACACAUCACAAUUUAAGGUACAGUGUCAGAGGGGUCAGUUAUUUCAACUUUUCAACCCCAUUACCAUGUCAAUCAACGCUUGAAUAGAAACGUAGUUCACACCCAGAUGUUGAUGUCAACACAGUCGCUACAAUCCCAUUAGUUUUCAUUGCAGCCUUGUUUGAAUGCCGCGGUUGAGCAAAUUUGUAAGGAUUGGGGUUAGUCAACAAUAGCUUUAUUAGCAACAAUAGCUUUAUUACAUAUUCCCGACUGUAUGUAAUGAAACCUAAGAUUACCUGGGGUACCAAUGUAAGAAAUAACACGUAAAAAAAACCUAAAUACUGCAUAGUGUCCUAGGAACGCGAAGCGAGGCGGCCAUCUCUGUCGGCGCACAGUAUCGUCUACAAUGACGAUUCUGUGCAUCCAACUUUGUGGCAACAAUGUGUGGAAGGCCCUUUCCUGUUUCAGGAUGACAAUGCAGUACAUUACAUACAGAAAUGAACGGUCCUUAUUUUUACUGAAAGGAAACUAAAUAAACUAAAUUCUUGUAGGCCGAU
This is a long non-coding RNA of Oncorhynchus gorbuscha (pink salmon), 1076 nucleotides long. RefSeq lists it as uncharacterized. The record is from RefSeq and is a predicted model, not a curated record. Lineage: Eukaryota; Metazoa; Chordata; Actinopteri; Salmoniformes; Salmonidae. The transcript is spliced from 2 exons.